RNAcentral lists this ribosomal RNA (470 nucleotides) under uncultured bacterium. RNAcentral describes it as "bacterial SSU rRNA". It matches the Rfam family "Bacterial small subunit ribosomal RNA", at positions 335 to 802 of the family's 1533-position model. The record is from RNAcentral.
ACUCCUACGGGAGGCAGCAGUGGGGAAUAUUGCACAAUGGGCGCAAGCCUGAUGCAGCCAUGCCGCGUGUGUGAAGAAGGCCUUGGGUUGUAAAGCACUUUCAGUCGUGAGGAAGGUAGUGUAGUUAAUAGCUGCAUUAUUUGACGUUAGCGACAGAAGAAGCACCGGCUAACUCCGUGCCAGCAGCCGCGGUAAUACGGAGGGUGCGAGCGUUAAUCGGAAUUACUGGGCGUAAAGCGCAUGCAGGUGGUUUGUUAAGUCAGAUGUGAAAGCCCGGGGCUCAACCUCGGAAUAGCAUUUGAAACUGGCAGACUAGAGUACUGUAGAGGGGGUAGAAUUUCAGGUGUAGCGGUGAAAUGCGUAGAGAUCUGAAGGAAUACCGGUGGCGAAGGCGGCCCCUGGACAGAUACUGACACUCAGAUGCGAAAGCGUGGGAGCAAACAGGAUUAGAUACCCCUGGUAGACUGUCA